This 251-nucleotide ribosomal RNA is filed under the name uncultured prokaryote. RNAcentral's name for it is "partial 16S rRNA". It matches the Rfam family "Bacterial small subunit ribosomal RNA", at positions 525 to 775 of the family's 1533-position model. The record is from RNAcentral.
ACGGAGGGUGCAAGCGUUAUUCGGAUUUAUUGGGCGUAAAGGGCGCGUAGGCGGCUUAUCAGGUCGGAUGUGAAAGCCCGCAGCUUAACUGCGGAAGUGCAUCCGAAACCGGCAGGCUUGAGUAUGGGAGAGGGAAACGGAAUUCCCGGUGUAGCGUUGCAAUGCGUAGAUAUCGGGAUGAUCACCUGCGGCGAAAGCAGUAACCCGGACCAAUACUCAUGCUGGUGCGCCUAGCCGCGUGAAUAAGUCAG